UAUGUGAUCGUCUCUCGCAUAUCAAUAAGCGGAGGAAAAGAAACUAACAAGGAUUCCCCUAGUAACGGCGAGUGAAGCGGGAAGAGCUCAAAUUUGAAAUCUUAAAGGGUUUCCCUUUACGAAUUGUAGUUUAAAGAAGUGUUUUCUGUUGAGGUUUUGGUAAAAGUUCUUUGGAAUAGGGACAUCAUAGAGGGAUGAGAAUCCCGUAUUUGACCUUUACUUUCAACUUUGUGAUACACUUUCAAAGAGUCGGAUUGUUUGGGAAUGCAGUCCAAAAUGGGUGGUAAAUUUCAUCUAAAGCUAAAUAUUGGCGAGAGACCGAUAGCGAACAAGUACCGUGAGGGAAAGAUGAAAAGAACUUUGAAAAGAGAGUUAAACAGUACGUGAAAUUGUCAAAAGGGAAGCGUUUGACACCAGUGUUGUUUUUCUGAAAAUCAAUUAAAGAACUGUUUAUGCUAAGUUGUUUAGACUUUAUCAGCUAACUGUUUAGUUUUGAGCUUUUCUUUAAUGCACUUUUCAGUUAACAAGUCAACAUCAAUUUCUUUUGCUGUAAAAAAGCUUGAGGAAGGUGGCUUGAGAUUCGUCUUAAGUGUUUAUAGCCUCUUGCCUAUGCAGUCGGAGAGAUUGAGGUCUGCAGCGUAGAUCCUUCGGGGCUAAAUGCAUUUGUGCUAAGUUAUAGCAUUUUAUAGACAACUUGUUGACUAUGAUUUGUCUUGUAGCUUACUCGCUUAUGUUAUUUUACCUACGCUUAGGAUGUUGAAUCUGUGCGAGACUAC
Molecule: ribosomal RNA, 776 nt
Filed under: uncultured Neocallimastigales
Lineage: Eukaryota; Fungi; Neocallimastigomycota; Neocallimastigomycetes; Neocallimastigales
Description: partial large subunit ribosomal RNA
Rfam family: Eukaryotic large subunit ribosomal RNA
Source: RNAcentral